AUUGAACGCUGGCGGCAUGCCUUACACAUGCAAGUCGAACGGUAACGCGGGGGCAACCCUGGCGACGAGUGGCGAACGGGUGAGUAAUACAUCGGAACAUAUCCAGUAGCGGGGGAUAACCUAUCGAAAGAUUGGCUAAUACCGCAUACGAUCUACGGAUGAAAGCAGGGGACCGCAAGGCCUUGCACUAUUGGAGUGGCCGAUGUCAGAUUAGCUAGUUGGUGGGGUAAAAGCCUACCAAGGCGACGAUCUGUAGCGGGUCUGAGAGGAUGAUCCGCCACACUGGGACUGAGACACGGCCCAGACUCCUACGGGAGCAGCAGUGGGGAAUUUUGGACAAUGGACGCAAGUCUGAUCCAGCCAUGCCGCGUG
RNAcentral lists this ribosomal RNA (372 nucleotides) under uncultured bacterium. RNAcentral's name for it is "bacterial SSU rRNA". It matches the Rfam family "Bacterial small subunit ribosomal RNA", at positions 30 to 403 of the family's 1533-position model. The record is from RNAcentral.